UACGAAGGGGGCUAGCGUUGCUCGGAAUUACUGGGCGUAAAGGGCACGUAGGCGGACAGUUUAGUCAGAGGUGAAAGCCCAGGGCUCAACCUUGGAACUGCCUUUGAUACUGACUGUCUUGAGUUCGGGAGGGGUGAGUGGAAUGCCGAGUGUAGAGGUGAAAUUCGUAGAUAUUCGGCGGAACACCAGUGGCGAAGGCGACUCACUGGCCCGAUACUGACGCUGAGGCGCGAAAGCGUGGGGAGCAAACAGG
Molecule: ribosomal RNA, 253 nt
Filed under: uncultured bacterium
Lineage: Bacteria
Description: partial 16S ribosomal RNA
Rfam family: Bacterial small subunit ribosomal RNA
Source: RNAcentral